UCCUUUGCUUGGUUUCCUGACCCAUUGG
Molecule: non-coding RNA, 28 nt
Filed under: Rattus norvegicus (Norway rat)
Lineage: Eukaryota; Metazoa; Chordata; Mammalia; Rodentia; Muridae
Source: RNAcentral